This 1445-nucleotide ribosomal RNA is filed under the name Acaulospora koskei. RNAcentral describes it as "eukaryotic LSU rRNA". The stretch from base 678 to 1445 matches the Rfam family "Eukaryotic large subunit ribosomal RNA", at positions 1 to 673 of the family's 3401-position model. Lineage: Eukaryota; Fungi; Glomeromycota; Glomeromycetes; Diversisporales; Acaulosporaceae. The record is from RNAcentral.
CCUAGUAAGCGUGAGUCAUCAGCUCAUGUUGAUUACGUCCCUGCCCUUUGUACACACCGCCCGUCGCUACUACCGAUUGAAUGGCUUAGUGAGACUCUCGGAUCGGGUUUUGGGAACCGGCAACGGAUCCUUUCUUCUGAGAAGUUUGUCAAACUUGGUCAUUUAGAGGAAGUAAAAGUCGUAACAAGGUUUCCGUAGGUGAACCUGCGGAAGGAUCAUUAGAAUAUUCGGGAAUUUUUCCCUAAAUAUCUUAUUCAAAAAUUUCCAUUCUAAAAAUAAAAUUUUAAAUUUCAUUAAAGAAAUUAAGACAACUUUCAACAACGGAUCUCUUGGCUCUUGCAUCGAUGAAGAACGCAGUGAAAUGCGAUACGUAAUGUGAAUUGCAGAAUUCCGUGAAUCAUCAAAUCUUUGAACGCAAAUUGCACUCCUUGGUAUUCCGAGGAGUAUGCUUGCUUGAGGGUCGAAUCAUAUUAUCGUUUUUUAACGGAUCUGGGUUUUUCCAAGUUUUUUUUUAAACCUUGGUAACCUAAAAUUUAUCUUAAUAAUAUUUGUAAUAUUGAAAAUGUGUAUCUUACGUUCACGUGAGUUUAUUGACAAUCAUUAUGAAUUUAUUACGUCGUAUUAUUCACUCGAUUUUUUUAACGAUCGGGGCGAAAAUGAUACAAUUUUUUAAAAUUCGACCUCAAGUCAAGUAAGAAUACCCGCUGAACUUAAGCAUAUCAAUAAGCGGAGGAAAAGAAACUAACAAGGAUUCCCUUAGUAACGGCGAGUGAACUGGGAAGAGCUCAAAUUUAAAAUCAUCAGGGUUUCCUUGAUGAGUUGUAAUUUGAAGAAAGUGUUUUGAUGUUCGGGUUUUAUCUAAAUCCUUUGGGAUAAGGUAUCAUAGAGGGUGAGAAUCCCGUUCGUGAUUAAACCUCGGAUGUCACUUAAUUCAUUUUCUAAGAGUCGAGUUGUUUGGGAUUGCAGCUCAAAAUGGGUGGUAAAUUUCACCUAAGGCUAAAUAUAUGCGAGAGACCGAUAGCGAACAAGUACCGUGAGGGAAAGAUGAAAAGAACUUUGAAAAGAGAGUUAAAUAGUACGUGAAAUUGUUGAAAGGGAAACGAUUGAAGUCAGUCAUGCUAGUGAGGAAUCAACUCGGUGGUUUUCUUCCGGGUGUACUUUCUCGCCUGGCAGGUUAGCAUCAAUUUCGUUCAUCAUUAAAUGAUUGGGGUAAUGUGGCUUCUCUUCGGAGUAGUGUUAUAGACCUUGGUAGAUGUGAUGAUCGGGAUUGAGGAUUGCAGCGAAUGCUAUUUGGCUAGUCCCCUGAUUUCUGAUGGUCACCUCGCCUUCGACAGCUUGCUGACGUGGGUGGGUUCUGAUUGUCUAGAUGUUAGAGUGAUCAUAUAUUCGCUAAGGAUGCUGACGUAAUGGCUUUAAACGACCCGUCUUGAACACGGACCAAGGAG